GAUCCCCUUGAAGGGUCGUUCGAGACCAGGACGUUGAUAGGUCAGGUGUGUAAGCGCAGUAAUGCGUUCAGCUAACUGAUACUAAUUGCCCGUAAGGCUUGAUCCUAUAACA
RNAcentral lists this ribosomal RNA (112 nucleotides) under Burkholderia sp. AU6039. RNAcentral's name for it is "partial 23S ribosomal RNA". It matches the Rfam family "Bacterial large subunit ribosomal RNA", at positions 2820 to 2925 of the family's 2925-position model. RNAcentral also lists the same sequence under 1 other name. The record is from RNAcentral. Lineage: Bacteria; Pseudomonadati; Pseudomonadota; Betaproteobacteria; Burkholderiales; Burkholderiaceae.